UAUAAACUGUCUCUUAAUUAUGAAUAGAAUUUAAUUUUUUUAUUAAAAAGUUAAAAUAAUUUAAAAAGACGAGAAGACCCUAUAGAGUUUUAUAAUUAAGUUAAUUAAAAUUAUUUAUUAAAAUAAAAUUAAAAUUAAUUUAUUUAUUUUGUUGGGGUGACAAAAAAAUAUAUAUAACUUUUUUUAAAAAUAAUAACAUUUAUAAGUGAUUAAAUGAUCCAAUAUUAUUGAUUAUAAGAAAAAAUUACCUUAGGGAUAACAGCGUAAUUUUUUUUUUUAGUUCAUAUAAAAAAAAAA
This 297-nucleotide ribosomal RNA is filed under the name Manga fuliginosa. RNAcentral's name for it is "partial 16S large subunit ribosomal RNA". The record is from RNAcentral. Lineage: Eukaryota; Metazoa; Arthropoda; Insecta; Lepidoptera; Noctuidae.